GUGGGGAGCAUGUGGUUUAAUUCGAAGCAACGCGAAGAACCUUACCAGGUCUUGACAUCCUUUGACCACUCUAGAGAUAGAGCUUUCCCCUUCGGGGGACAAAGUGACAGGUGGUGCAUGGUUGUCGUCAGCUCGUGUCGUGAGAUGUUGGGUUAAGUCCCGCAACGAGCGCAACCCUUGACCUUAGUUGCCAGCAUUCAGUUGGGCACUCUAAGGUGACUGCCGGUGACAAACCGGAGGAAGGUGGGGAUGACGUCAAAUCAUCAUGCCCCUUAUGACCUGGGCUACACACGUGCUACAAUGGAAU
RNAcentral lists this ribosomal RNA (307 nucleotides) under Alkalihalophilus pseudofirmus. RNAcentral's name for it is "bacterial SSU rRNA". It matches the Rfam family "Bacterial small subunit ribosomal RNA", at positions 932 to 1236 of the family's 1533-position model. Lineage: Bacteria; Bacillati; Bacillota; Bacilli; Caryophanales; Bacillaceae. The record is from RNAcentral.